GCGUCCCGGCCACGCUUCCUGGAAGAGAUGCAUUGCGGAGCUCGCUAGUGGGGAGUUGGCUUUCCUUAGGGGUGUGAGUCUAGCGUUAGCUGUUUUUUCCCGGCUGGGUCCCGGGUUACCCCACCAGCCCGACCUCAACCCACUCGCGUCCACAGCACGAGCCCCAGCAGCCUUGCGCGGUGCUUGCUCUCUAGUAGCGGCUGACUAGGUCAGUCAGGAUCUUUGAUUUUGGAGCACAAGCCUUCUGCGUGCUACUGACUGGGUCCUGGCCUCCCUCCUUCCAUGGCACCGUCGUGAAUGGGAAUUUCCACCACUGCCUCCAUUAGGUGCAAACUCACUUUUAGAAAAACAGUGAACCAUGGGACUGUACUAACAGAAGAACAACAAAUGCCCACCACAAGCCCCGCCUGUCUGUGACGUGGUGGCCAAUGCAGUUAGGAAGAGAGAGCUCUCAUCUCAGACUCGUUCACAUCGACCUGGUCAUGACUGGAGAGUUUCCACGUAUUGGCAAAUAUGCACGUUUUAAACUAUGGUGAAACCCCGUCUCUACUGAAAAUAUAAAAAAUUAGCCGGGCAUGGUGGUGGGCGCCUUCAGUGAGUUUCUGAAUUAGUGUGGGGCAUUGAGGAAAUAUUUCAGGGACAGAACUUCACCCCAGCCCAGGCCUUUUCUCACAUGCAAAGGCAGAUGCAAGGGCAGAAGUCGUCGUCUUGGGAUGAAGGUCUGCAAAGUCAUUCAUUUAUGCCCAGGAAUUGGAAAUCUCAAGACUCUAGGCUGUUUCCCUAGUUAGCCUUUGCACUCUGAACUUGGCUUACUCCCCUCCCUAGUGACCACUCUUCUGAACUUCACUCACAUUUCUGUCUAAGAACUAAGACGCAAGAGGAGGUCCCAACCUCAAAGAAACUUGUUUCAAGUUUCUUUCAGAGGAGGAGUUAAGCCAAUUAGAUGGUUACGUGUUGUGUAACCGAGCUCAUAAAACAUGAAAUGGCUUGAACUAAGGUAACAGGGGAUAAGUGGCUAGAAGACUUUUUAACAUUCUUAAUUUGGCUGUAGGGUGGAACACAUUAACGACUUCAGAAACAUAUUUGGUGAGCAACAUAGAAUGGAAUUGUUGUUCAUGUAUCAGGCAACUUAGUGUUUGGGAGAUAACCCCAGAUAAAAGGAAAAUUAUCAUGGGAUGAAAUUAACGAAAUAAGUAUUAAAAAGUUCUUAGCCAUGAAACAGCUAAGGACAAUUUACAGAAGUCGGAGAGGCGAAAGUGAGAUGAGGAGGAAGGAGGGAAAUGCCUCUGACAAACACAGCCAAUUAAAAAGUACCGUGAU
Gorilla gorilla gorilla (western lowland gorilla) is the source of this 1320-nucleotide long non-coding RNA. RefSeq lists it as uncharacterized. The record is from RefSeq and is a predicted model, not a curated record. The transcript is spliced from 3 exons. Lineage: Eukaryota; Metazoa; Chordata; Mammalia; Primates; Hominidae.